Molecule: ribosomal RNA, 253 nt
Filed under: uncultured bacterium
Lineage: Bacteria
Description: partial 16S ribosomal RNA
Rfam family: Bacterial small subunit ribosomal RNA
Source: RNAcentral
UACGGAGGGGGCUAGCGUUAUUCGGAAUUACUGGGCGUAAAGCGCACGUAGGCGGCUAUUCAAGUCAGGGGUGAAAUCCCGGGGCUCAACCCCGGAACUGCCUCUGAAACUAGAUAGCUAGAAUCUUGGAGAGGUCAGUGGAAUUCCGAGUGUAGAGGUGAAAUUCGUAGAUAUUCGGAAGAACACCAGUGGCGAAGGCGACUGACUGGACAAGUAUUGACGCUGAGGUGCGAAAGCGUGGGGAGCAAACAGG